GAGUUUGAUCCUGGCUCAGGACGAACGCUGGCGGCGUGCCUAAUACAUGCAAGUCGAGCGGACAGAUGGGAGCUUGCUCCCUGAUGUUAGCGGCGGACGGGUGAGUAACACGUGGGCAACCUGCCUGUAAGACUGGGAUAACUCCGGGAAACCGGGGCUAAUACCGGAUGGUUGUUUGAACCGCAUGGUUCAAACAUAAAAGGUGGCUUCGGCUACCACUUACAGAUGGACCCGCGGCGCAUUAGCUAGUUGGUGAGGUAAUGGCUCACCAAGGCAACGAUGCGUAGCCGACCUGAGAGGGUGAUCGGCCACACUGGGACUGAGACACGGCCCAGACUCCUACGGGAGGCAGCAGUAGGGAAUCUUCCGCAAUGGACGAAAGUCUGACGGAGCAACGCCGCGUGAGUGAUGAAGGUUUUCGGAUCGUAAAGCUCUGUUGUUAGGGAAGAACAAGUACCGUUCGAAUAGGGCGGUACCUUGACGGUACCUAACCAGAAAGCCACGGCUAACUACGUGCCAGCAGCCGCGGUAAUACGUAGGUGGCAAGCGUUGUCCGGAAUUAUUGGGCGUAAAGGGCUCGCAGGCGGUUUCUUAAGUCUGAUGUGAAAGCCCCCGGCUCAACCGGGGAGGGUCAUUGGAAACUGGGGAACUUGAGUGCAGAAGAGGAGAGUGGAAUUCCACGUGUAGCGGUGAAAUGCGUAGAGAUGUGGAGGAACACCAGUGGCGAAGGCGACUCUCUGGUCUGUAACUGACGCUGAGGAGCGAAAGCGUGGGGGAGCGAACAGGAUUAGAUACCCUGGUAGGUCCACGGCCGGUAAACGAUGAAGUGCCUAAAGUGAUAGGGGGUAUAUUCCGGCCCCCCCUUUUUAAAGUUUGC
This 877-nucleotide ribosomal RNA is filed under the name Bacillus subtilis. RNAcentral's name for it is "bacterial SSU rRNA". It matches the Rfam family "Bacterial small subunit ribosomal RNA", at positions 9 to 856 of the family's 1533-position model. Lineage: Bacteria; Bacillati; Bacillota; Bacilli; Caryophanales; Bacillaceae. The record is from RNAcentral.